AAGACAUUAGUAAACAUGCACAUUACAUCACCUUGUCAAGAUGAAAUCACAGGUUAAACUCCUGUAUGUCUUA
RNAcentral lists this transfer RNA (73 nucleotides) under Notropis imeldae. RNAcentral describes it as "tRNA-Asp". It matches the Rfam family "tRNA". From Rfam's summary of the family: Transfer RNA (tRNA) molecules are approximately 80 nucleotides in length. The record is from RNAcentral. Lineage: Eukaryota; Metazoa; Chordata; Actinopteri; Cypriniformes; Leuciscidae.